Molecule: non-coding RNA, 2375 nt
Organism: Rattus norvegicus (Norway rat)
Lineage: Eukaryota; Metazoa; Chordata; Mammalia; Rodentia; Muridae
Source: RefSeq, a predicted model, not a curated record
GGCAAGGAAGGAAUGGCUGGGGGAGUUUGUGUACAAAUCUGGGGCUGUUCACAGGGAGGCUGCAGCCACCAAAGGCUGAGUGGGGCUAAGUCUAAGAGCACUAAUGACAGCAAUAUUGAUAAUAAUGACCUCCUUAUGCAAGGCCCUUUCUAGGUUUAACACACUUUAUGUGGCCCAUGGGAUUUGAUCCUCACAAUAUUUUUAAGGAAUUAUCUCUCCCACUUUACAUGUGAAAAACAAGGGUUGAGGAAAUUAAAAACAUGUUGGCCAUAAGCCAACAUUCGAAGGAAUUUGCACAUGGACCACGCAUGAUGGCCUGUCUGAUUCUAAAGCCCCUGUUCUGAAAACAAUACCCUAUUGUCUUUUAGCACCAGCAAACUGCUGAGAGGGUCCAGCCAUGACACUCUCAAUGCAUUGGCUCUUCUGAGCCCCGAGAAGGUGGGAGGCAGGAGGGGUGAUCAGGUAAUGGGGGCUCAUUGCCAGAGAAGAGUCUCUGGGGAGAAUGCUGGUGCUGGAGGUGGCAGACUGUGCAAAUCUCCUGAGUCUGUGAAUCACCAAUCAGUGAAGAUUAGUCAGAGUCUGGUACACUGCAGCGGAAGGAGUAGGGGUUGUGUGUGUGCUCAACAUGCAGCUGCAAGGCCUCUACUGGUGACUCUACAAGCUAGGAAAGGAGGCUUUCUUGGAAGAACAUGAAAGAGAACAAACUCAACAGAAAAGAACGGCUCAGUCUGAGUACCUACUUGGACGAAGGUUGUGAAGGUUGGGAACGGGAAUGACCCUCGUGACCCACAGGUGCCUCGGUGUCAGGAAGCACACAGAAUGCCAACCAGAAAGAGAGGCAGGUCCAGGGAGAGGAAUGAGGCUUCACCCAAGGGCAUUUGCAUUCAGGCCUUAAACGCACACCAGAGGCUGCUACUGAAACAUAAAAUAUCAACACGUGAAAAAAAUAUCAACUCAUCUGCAGUCUUUACGGAAAGCAUUGACUGGAAUCUUGCUUGUCAGAUGGUGAGGCUUUAAUCAGACCCUGGGAUGACAGGGCUGCCUUCCUCUCUCAAGUCCCCCAAGUUUCCCUUUCUCUCUCUUGCUCUCUCUUGUCCUGGAACAAGGAGGAAGACAGUAAAGGGAGGUAGGUCUAGGCUAGAAGAACCAAGCCCACUGUAGAAUGUGGACCCAGCAGGAGUCCAGGCCUCCAUGUCUUGAAAGCUGAAAGCACCUGGGGCCCAUGAAGGUCCAAUCUAGGGGCAGUGGGAGGCUCCCACAGGAGCUAGAGUAGAGGCUAGGCCGUCAGGGUGGACAGCACUGAAUCUGGAGGUGAGAGACCUACUAAAGCCAGAACCAGAGCAUCACUGGGAUCACAGGCCAUGGGUUAAAGUGUUGUGGCCAACCUUCUGUUUAACUCACUGGGCUUAAGAGCUCCGUAAAACAAAACUACCUCUAAACUGUAAGCCCCGCUCACUGAGGAUGGAGACUUCUUGGAGGGCUAAGGGCUGUGGUUCACGGAAGAUAACAAACUGUAAACAAGCUUGGUUGUCCCAAGUGCACAGGAUGUGCUUGUGUCUAAUUGCAGGAAAGCAGGAAGUAUGUGGCCCUAUGAGUUUUGUCUUUAUAAGUGCCUAAUGUUAUUUGGUGACGUGCUCUAAGCUUGGGUCUCCAGUAUGUUUGUAUCCAUGGUUCCUGGAAAGUAUUUAAUAAAGCCUCUUGUUUGUUAAAAUUCAUUCAUGGUCAAAGUAAAUCUCUGAGCUACCCCAGACUCACGACAAGGGACAGGCAUCAGGGCAGCUGCAGAAAGCAGGCCUUCAUUGGGGUGACUCUACUGGGCACUCCAGGAGGACUUUGAAGAAGAUUUAGGGACACUGAUGCGUGGUUUCUGGGUAGGUAGCCUUUGGUGGUAUAUAUGUCCCACAAAAGAGCAUGACUCUGUGGGCCUCACUGCUGAACCUAAUACUGUGUGGCUGGCCAAAGCAGAGGCCCAGGUGUCAGUAGAAAGCCUGGCUUUCCAGUCAAAGUAGAUUCCCUGGGAGGAGAAGGAGGAAAGUCAUCCCUGUUGGAAAGACUUUGCCCCUAAAAGGCUCGUGUGUUGAAGCCAUGAGCCCUGGCUUCAUCUGGUCAUUCAGAGCUGAUAGAACCACGCGAGUUCUGACGUAAUUGAAGACAGAUCUGUCACAAUCUGGUAGCAUUUCCAGGUGUUGUGAACUUGGAGGUGAGCCCCUGGGGUAGGUUCUGUACCUUCACAGGAUGUCUCUGGUCUCCAGCGCCUGCUGAAGUGUCUCCCGGCUGCUAUGAGGUGAACUUUCCUCCUCCACAGUACUCUUCUGUCAUGAUGCUCCUACUUUAACCGUCCUAAAAGCUACGGAGACACUGAAACCAUGAGCCAA